UUGCUUCAGCAGCACAUAUACUAAAAUUGGAACAAUACAGAGAAGAUGAGCAUGGCCCCUGCUCAAGGGUGACAUGCAAAUUCAUGAAACAUUUCAUAUUUUU
Molecule: small nuclear RNA, 103 nt
Organism: Gracilinanus agilis (Agile Gracile Mouse Opossum)
Lineage: Eukaryota; Metazoa; Chordata; Mammalia; Didelphimorphia; Didelphidae
Source: RefSeq, a predicted model, not a curated record